CCCCCUUCAUCCCUCCACAGGUUCUACAUGAAGGAGAACGAGGUGAGGACCAUCGCAUCAGUCUCUGAGGAUGGCCUGGAGGUCACACUGACAGAGGCACUGGAGCACACCCACCUCUCCGUCACCCAGACUCUUGGGGGACACACAGUGGAGACACGUGCAGAGGUGGGACUCCUCACCCACAAUGUCAAGAUCCAGGGAAAUGUUGGCACCGACUUCAGUGUGGCUAUUGAGGGCUGUGACACUGCUUUUAGGCCUGACCAGCACGCCACCCAGUCAUGUUUCAAUGGUCGACAUGGAGACGAGAUUGGCGGUGACCAAUUUGGCGCCACCGUGAUACUGUCUGGAAAGUUCCCUGACCUGGACUUGGUGAUGGGACGCAUUGAGUACGUGGAGGUGACCAAGGCUGGUCAGGCAUUCCAACUUGGCCGGUACCCACUCCACUUCCACCUGGCUGGGGACAUGGGUGGUUCGUACAUCCGCGGGUGCUCCAUCCACCACACCUACAACCGCGCAGUGACAAUGCACGCAACAGACAACCUGCUGGUGGAGCAUAAUGUGGCGUACAACAGCAUGGGUCACGCUAUCUUCACAGAGGAUGGGGUGGAGCAGAACAGUGUGGUGCAGUACAACCUUGCAGUCUACACCAGGACCUCCUCUUCCCUUCUUAAUGUGGAUGUGACACGCUCCUCAUUCUGGGUGGUGAACCCAAACAACAUUUUCCGUCACAAUGCAGCUGCCAGUGGAACACACUUUGGUUACUGGUACAGGCUGGACCACCACCCCUCGGGCCCAUCCGCCACCAACAUCUACUGCCAGAACACUGAAAAGAUGGGACUCUUCUUCAAUAACACUGCACAUUCCAUGGGAAGGUAUGGUCUGUGGGUGUUCUCCAAUCAAGGAUAUCACCCAAAGUCCAACAUCUGUGGAGGCAGGGAUGUGGGGGCCAAGUGGGAAAGCUUCACCGCGUGGCACUGUGAGCGGGGUGCCGAGGCAGUAUCUGGCACUAAGCUGCAGUUCCACAACUUUGUGAUGCUUGAUAACCAACAGGCUGGCAUGGAGAUGGUGUCUGUGAAGGGAGGGUUCGGACAGGAUGACAGCCCUGGCAUCUUCAAUUCCCUGGUGGUGUGUCACUCGGCCCUCAACUCCAGUGCCUGCACCUCAGGAACCAGUGGUAUUGUGGCGCCCAAGACCCAGAUCUUUAGUAUCUCCAAUGUCACAUUUGUUAACUUUGAUGAGGGUGGAAGUGCUGCGCUGUCUGGCUGUUCUCAGUGCAGGAACUACCAGGGAGGCUACAGGGCCCAGGUUAAGGGUCUGGCCUUUGAGAAUUCACCCAACAAGAUCAGGUUUCAGUGGGAACACGAGACAAUCUGGAUAGACGCUGAUGGCUCUCUGACGGGCGAACCGGAGGCGAAUGUUGUUCCCACAAUGGGCAUCUUACCAACUGAUUCCUGCACUCAAGAAGCAGCAUUCUCUGUCACCAAGAAUGUGCCAGGAUCAGUUUGCCGAGGGGCCAUGAAAUUCCUGCGAGUGGCCGUCACCAAUCCGAGCCCUUCCUCACUGCUUGGCAAGGACCUGGUGGUGAGCAACGACUUCGGCGCCACCCACAUCCCUUACCUCAUGCUCCAUUGGUGGUGCUGGCUGGAUGGGGCUUGUCUACACUAGUGCCACCUUUGACUUCAACUUUGAAAAUGCUAAUCAAUUCGUCAACAUGUCAUACAAGACUAACACAAAAUUCAUGACAAGAAAUGACCACUAUUUUGUGAAACACACACUCACCCAGACACCUGACAGAAUUGAGACGACCAAGGGUGAGAGGGAGAGCCUGGAGUCCCUGCCUGACCUCACCACAAACAUUCAUGGGGACUUCUACUGGGACACAGACUCAAAGGAACUCACAUACAUGGUGUCGCACAGUAAAAAGACUACAAAAAAGGCAUGGCAACAUGGUCUUUGAUGACUGAGUUCCUGGUCAAUCAAGGCAGAUCAGUUUCAGUGUGUAUAAGUGUCAGCACAAAGGAUGUUCUGCGCCUGACCCUAGACCAGUCCCCACAACACAUCCAGACGCACCUUUCCGCUGGUCUGAUGUGGAGACGUGGAAGCAUAUACCAGUCAGUACUGGUGGCCACCCAACAGAGGCAGAAUACAGCCUGCCCGUGGAGGGAGAUGAGAUUGUGAUUCCUGAGAGCAUGUGGCUCGUUGUGGACACGGCCACACCCAAGCUUGGCCGUGUCUUUGUGUAUGGCACCAUUGAGUUUGAUGACACGAUGGACCACAGAUUUGAGGCCACCAUUAUUUACAUCCAGGUGUGUUUGGCUAUCUCAGGCUGCAUGGGCAGGUGUGGGGGAGAUCAUGGCACAAGCUUGGGGCCACAGUGGAGGUUGGGACCGGCCACAUAACUCUGGCCAAGGAUCCUGAUGCUUCCUGGCUCAAUAAGGA
Scylla paramamosain (green mud crab) is the source of this 2439-nucleotide RNA transcript. It is a transcript of the gene named fibrocystin-L-like, with no coding region annotated. The transcript has 15 exons. Lineage: Eukaryota; Metazoa; Arthropoda; Malacostraca; Decapoda; Portunidae. The record is from RefSeq and is a predicted model, not a curated record.